Molecule: ribosomal RNA, 441 nt
Filed under: uncultured Bauldia sp.
Lineage: Bacteria; Pseudomonadati; Pseudomonadota; Alphaproteobacteria; Hyphomicrobiales; Kaistiaceae
Description: bacterial SSU rRNA
Rfam family: Bacterial small subunit ribosomal RNA
Source: RNAcentral
CCUACGGGGGGCUGCAGUGGGGAAUAUUGGACAAUGGGCGCAAGCCUGAUCCAGCCAUGCCGCGUGAGUGAUGAAGGCCCUAGGGUUGUAAAGCUCUUUCAGCGGGGACGAUAAUGACGGUACCCGUAGAAGAAGCCCCGGCUAACUUCGUGCCAGCAGCCGCGGUAAUACGAAGGGGGCUAGCGUUGUUCGGAAUCACUGGGCGUAAAGCGCACGUAGGCGGAUCGUUAAGUCGAGGGUGAAAUCCCAGGGCUCAACCCUGGAACUGCCUUCGAUACUGGCGAUCUUCGAGUCCGGGAGAGGUGAGUGGAACUCCGAGUGUAGAGGUGAAAUUCGUAGAUAUUCGGAAGAACACCAGUGGCGAAGGCGGCUCACUGGCCCGGUACUGACGCUGAGGUGCGAAAGCGUGGGGAGCAAACAGGCUUAGAUACCCCGGUAGUC